RNAcentral lists this long non-coding RNA (838 nucleotides) under Vitis vinifera (wine grape). RNAcentral's name for it is "long non-coding RNA (VVIN_LNC000557)". Lineage: Eukaryota; Viridiplantae; Streptophyta; Magnoliopsida; Vitales; Vitaceae. The record is from RNAcentral.
ACAAUGUCUUUGGCUCCAAGAGAUAAUCAUGAGGCUCAAGUCCAAUUUGCAUUGGAACGCGGAAUUCCGGCGAUCCUUGGCAUCAUUUCCACUCAGCGGCUUCCUUUCCCCUCCAACUCAUUUGAUAUGGCUCAUUGCUCAAGAUGCCUUAUCCCAUGGACUGAAUUUGGUAAUUCCUCUCUUCCAUAUAAUGAUAAGUCUCAGAUGUAAAUUUGGACAAAAUUACAUUAUCAAUAAGUUGUCGCUGAGGUUCAUUGGUUGAUCAUAUACUCAAAAUUUCUUUUUAAUUUUCACUUAAUUUUUAGAGGUUUUAAGUAGUCAAGCAUCCAUUACAAUUACAGAGGUUUACCCUCUAGGUGGAACAGGAAUUCAGGUCAUCAAGCUUUUAUCUUUACAAAAGAAACAACUUAGAGUAAUUUGGCAGCUUUCAUCAAGUUUUCAAGGAAAUUAUGAAUAGCUUAAAAAUUAAGGUAGCACCAACAUAAUGUGUUUUCAGAACAUUUAUCAUUUGAACAGGUUUGUCUUUGUUUCUGAUGUUGAAUUAUGAACGAAAGGAUCAUGUUUGUGUUCUAUUUUUUUAUUUUUUUAUUUUUUUAUUUUUCCAUUUGCUGCUUUUCACCCAUGGAAAUGUCCUGUUUUCAGGUGGAAUAUACCUCCUAGAAGUACACCGCAUACUCCGCCCUGGAGGGUUCUGGGUCCUGUCUGGCCCACCUGUAAACUAUGAAAACCGUUGGCGAGGAUGGAACACAACUGUGGAGGAUCAGAAAAGUGACUAUGAAAAGUUGACUGAGUUGCUCACUUCAAUGUGCUUCAAAUUAUAUAACAAAAAGGAUGACAU